This 253-nucleotide ribosomal RNA is filed under the name uncultured bacterium. Its description in RNAcentral is "partial 16S ribosomal RNA". It matches the Rfam family "Bacterial small subunit ribosomal RNA", at positions 524 to 776 of the family's 1533-position model. The record is from RNAcentral.
UACAGAGGUCUCAAGCGUUGUUCGGAUUCACUGGGCGUAAAGCGCGCGUAGGCGGACUGUUAAGUCGGGGGUGAAAUCCUGGAGCUCAACUCCAGAACUGCCUUCGAUACUGGGAGUCUCGAGUCCGGGAGAGGUGAGUGGAACUGCGAGUGUAGAGGUGAAAUUCGUAGAUAUUCGCAAGAACACCAGUGGCGAAGGCGGCUCACUGGCCCGGUACUGACGCUGAGGUGCGAAGGCGUGGGGAGCAAACAGG